AACGUAGGAGACAAACGUUAUCCGGAGUUACUGGGCGUAAAGGGCGUGCAGGUGGUCUGUCAAGUCUGGCGUGAAAGCUCUCGGCUAAACCGGGAGAGGUCGUUGGAUACUGGCGGACUAGAGGACGGUAGAGGCGUGUGGAAUUCCGGGUGUAGUGGUGAAAUGCGUAGAGAUCCGGAGGAACACCAGUGGCGAAGGCGACACGCUGGGCCGUACCUGACACUAAAACGCGACAGCAUGGGGAGCGAACGGG
Molecule: ribosomal RNA, 253 nt
Filed under: uncultured bacterium
Lineage: Bacteria
Description: partial 16S ribosomal RNA
Rfam family: Bacterial small subunit ribosomal RNA
Source: RNAcentral